GGCUGGCCUAUGAGUGGAGACGGCGCCGGAGGGGCGGGACGGGGGCACGCGUGCGCGCUGGCGGCGCAGGCAGGUUCCCGCCCGCAGGCUCCGUGUCGGCGCUGCGGCGUGGGGACCCGGUCGGGGACCGGGUGCGGGAGCCGGGAGUGAAGCCCGGCGGACCGGCAGAGCCCGAGGGGGCGACAGGCGGGAGGGAGACCGAGGCUGCGGCGCGGGCGGGGCUACGCAGCCCGGCGUCCAGGGCGUGCCCCCAUUGCGCCGAGGGGGCAACUGAGGCGAACGCAGGCCUCAAGGUCGCGCCGCCCGCCAAGGUCGCCCGCGUCCCACCAGGCCUGCGACCCGCGACCCCGCGACCUCGCGACCUCGCGCGCGGCUGGGGGCGCUGGGUGGUCUCGGGCAUCGCCCCCUUCUCCAGCGCACGGGAGGCACCGCCGCCCCCGUCUUAGAGGUUACGAAAUGCUUCCAAAAUGCCCUACUUUCUGAAAAUAUCUUGCACAGUCCUCUUGAAUUUUCUCCAGGAGGAGGACGUUGACACGAGAGCCUGGCAGGCUCGUACCUGCAGAGUCGCGGCGCGCUCUCUUGCCCACUUUCGACUUGGGGAGCAGGAGUGGGAGCCGCCCCCCCACCCCCGGGCUCAGACGCCGGCGGUGAACCCGCUCCCCUGCAGAGUCUGUAAGUGGGGGUCGUCAGGUCCUCGUCGGCCACUCAGUUGCAGCGUUCCCGGUGUCAUGUCGUAUGUCAAAGCCGGUGUCUCCAGCUGCACGGCCGGGAAGCCGUAGGAUGCGCCCCGUGGCGGGCGUCCGGCGUUGUCACUGCAGCUGCAUCCGGAGCCCACGUGUGCUGGGCUUACAGACCCUACUUCCCAGCCCUGGCCGCCCCACGGCCCCCGGCUGUCACCGGUGGAAAGUGAGGCUCCUCCCUGUGAGUAGCUGCUCAGAGUCACCGGCCUAGAGCGCUCGAGCACAAGCAGGAGGAGCGGCAGAGGCAGAGGGAGAAGCAGACUCCCUGCUGAGCAGGGAGCCCGUUGCCGGGCUCGAUCCCAGGACCCUGGGAUCAUGACCUGAGCCGAAGGCCGGUGCUUCACCGACUGAGUCACCCAGGCGCCUCACAGUUAAGGAUGUUCAGAGGAAGAGGAUAGUGAGAAUACAUACGGCAUGUCCCCCCUGUCCGUGAGCGCAGGGGUGCGGGCAAGGUUGCAUCCCCCGCCGGGCACACAGGGGUGGCCGAAGGCCAGUCUCGCCCGCGCUGAUCUCAGUCAGCUCUAUUUCUUUGGAGAACUCUAAUGCAAACCCCCAGAAAAGCAAGAUCAUGGGGCCCAUCAUGCAGAGACAACAGUCGAUAGAACCAGACCCAGAGACGGCCUGCAGUAGAAGACGGAGUCUUUAAUCCUGGGAAGUUUGUCAUGGGACGGAUCACUCAAUCAACGGUGUUGGAACGAUUGACUGUCUCUUUAAAAGCAAACUUAAACCUCAUUAGGCCCAAUUUAAUAAUCUUAUUGUUUGAAUAGUCCCUAUUUUGCUGGGGGUUUUCCUCCUUUUCCUGUCUGAUUACUGAAAGAAGUUUGUUCAGGUGUCUUGUUAUGACCAUCAGUUUGUUUCUUUCUCUUUUUAGAUCUGCGACUUUAGUUCUACACAUGUUGAGGCCAUGUUCUCAGGGCCAGGCAAAGUGUAAAUGAAGGUCGAGUGUCCGCUGGUCCGCAUUUCAGCUGCUCACUUGUCAGUUUCUUACACUUCCGUUAGGUUCUCUUCCAAACAUGCAUCGACAGUUGUUAUAACGCCUGCUUCCUGUAGGUAUUUUUCAAGCUCGAUCUCAUUCUUGAAACAGUAGUUACCUUACCCUAUGUGUCUGCUGAGUGUAACGUUUGAAGCUUGUUUCUGUUUUCUACAAUUUGUUAGUUCUUGUGUGCCUGGUUAUCUUUGAAUCAGUGCUGAAAUUGUACAUUAUUUUAUUUUUUAAAAAGAUUUAUUGAUUUA
Molecule: long non-coding RNA, 1973 nt
Organism: Ailuropoda melanoleuca (giant panda)
Lineage: Eukaryota; Metazoa; Chordata; Mammalia; Carnivora; Ursidae
Exons: 3
Source: RefSeq, a predicted model, not a curated record